UGGGGAAUAUUGCACAAUGGGCGCAAGCCUGAUGCAGCCAUGCCGCGUGUGUGAAGAAGGCCUUCGGGUUGUAAAGCACUUUCAGCGGGGAGGAAGGCGGUGAGGUUAAUAACCUCAUCGAUUGACGUUACCCGCAGAAGAAGCACCGGCUAACUCCGUGCCAGCAGCCGCGGUAAUACGGAGGGUGCAAGCGUUAAUCGGAAUUACUGGGCGUAAAGCGCACGCAGGCGGUCUGUCAAGUCGGAUGUGAAAUCCCCGGGCUCAACCUGGGAACUGGAUUCGAAACUGGGAGGCUAGAGUCUGGGAGAGGGGGGGAGAAUUCCAGGUGUAGUGGUGAAAGGCGGGGAGAUCUGGAGGAAUACCGGUGGCGGAAGCGGCCCCCUGGACAAAGACUGACGCUCAGGUGCGAAAGCGUGGGGAGCAAACAGG
Molecule: ribosomal RNA, 429 nt
Filed under: Chloroflexota bacterium
Lineage: Bacteria; Bacillati; Chloroflexota
Description: Chloroflexi bacterium partial 16S ribosomal RNA
Rfam family: Bacterial small subunit ribosomal RNA
Source: RNAcentral